Molecule: non-coding RNA, 90 nt
Organism: Canis lupus familiaris (dog)
Lineage: Eukaryota; Metazoa; Chordata; Mammalia; Carnivora; Canidae
Source: Rfam
GGGGGGAGGCCGGAUCCUGGGCUGUGUCCCCGGCAUCCUGUGCUCCCGGGCCUGAGAUGUUGGAUUCGCGCUCCGGCCGGGCAGCCCCCU